GUAGUCAUAUGCUUGUCUCAAAGAUUAAGCCAUGCAUGUCUAAGUUUAAGCAAUAAACAGUGAAACUGCGAAUGGCUCAUUAAAUCAGUCAUAGUUUAUUUGAUGGUACCUUACUACAUGGAUAACUGUGGUAAUUCUAGAGCUAAUACAUGCUGAAAAAUCCCGACUUCUGGAAGGGAUGUAUUUAUUAGAUCCAAAACCAAUGGCCUUCGGGUCCCUAUGGUGAAUCAUGAUAACUGCUCGAAUCGCAUGGCCUUGCGCCGGCGAUGCUUCAUUCAAAUAUCUGCCCUAUCAACUUUCGAUGGUAGGAUAGAGGCCUACCAUGGCAACGGGUAACGGGGAAU
Molecule: ribosomal RNA, 344 nt
Filed under: Rhodotorula glutinis
Lineage: Eukaryota; Fungi; Basidiomycota; Microbotryomycetes; Sporidiobolales; Sporidiobolaceae
Description: SSU rRNA
Rfam family: Eukaryotic small subunit ribosomal RNA
Source: RNAcentral